Molecule: ribosomal RNA, 494 nt
Filed under: uncultured bacterium
Lineage: Bacteria
Description: partial 16S ribosomal RNA
Rfam family: Bacterial small subunit ribosomal RNA
Source: RNAcentral
GACGAACGCUAGCGGCGUGCUUAACACAUGCAAGUCGAACGGUGAAGCGCCUUCCUUUUUGGUGGGUGUGGAUGAGUGGCGAACGGGUGAGUAACACGUGAGUAACCUGCCCCCUUCUUCUGGAUAACCGCAUGAAAGUGUGGCUAAUACGGGAUAUUCUGGGUCUGUCGCAUGAUGGGUCUGGGAAAGAUAUUGUUUCGGUGGGGGAUGGGCUCGCGGCCUAUCAGCUUGUUGGUGGGGUGAUGGCCUACCAAGGCGGUGACGGGUAGCCGGCCUGAGAGGGUGGACGGUCACACUGGGACUGAGACACGGCCCAGACUCCUACGGGAGGCAGCAGGGGGGAAUAUUGCACAAUGGGCGCAAGCCUGAUGCAGCGACGCCGCGUGAGGGAUGGAGGCCUUCGGGUUGUGAACCUCUUUCGCCAGUGAAGCAGGCCUGCCUCGUUUGUGGGUGGGUUGACGGUAGCUGGAGAAGAAGCGCCGGCUAACUACGUG